GAGGGUAUAGCUUAGGGGAAGAGUGUGUGCCUGGCAUACAUAAGGUCCUGGGUUCAAUCCCCAGUACCUCCA
Molecule: transfer RNA, 72 nt
Filed under: Camelus bactrianus (Bactrian camel)
Lineage: Eukaryota; Metazoa; Chordata; Mammalia; Artiodactyla; Camelidae
Also listed under: 2 other names
Rfam family: tRNA
About the family: Transfer RNA (tRNA) molecules are approximately 80 nucleotides in length. Their secondary structure includes four short double-helical elements and three loops (D, anti-codon, and T loops). Further hydrogen bonds mediate the characteristic L-shaped molecular structure. tRNAs have two regions of fundamental functional importance: the anti-codon, which is responsible for specific mRNA codon recognition, and the 3' end, to which the tRNAs corresponding amino acid is attached (by aminoacyl-tRNA synthetases). tRNAs cope with the degeneracy of the genetic code in two manners: having more than one tRNA (with a specific anti-codon) for a particular amino acid; and 'wobble' base-pairing, i.e. permitting non-standard base-pairing at the 3rd anti-codon position.
Source: Rfam by way of RNAcentral